CCGAAGCUAGGGGCGUGGUUUAGGCUCUCAGCUCCGCCCCCGGCUCGCCGGAGGCGGUGGACCCUUAGCAAAGCCGCCGGCUGCGCAGCUCGGAGGCACUAAGUAAAUAAGGCGGGGAGGGCAAGGGGGUGCGUGACCCGCUGGGAGGAAGAGCGGGACGCAGGCAGAAGGAACUGGCAAAGGGAGACAGACAGCCACGUGGUAAGACAGACAGCCACGUGGUACGAUGAGAAAAGAGGCUUUGGGAGAGGAAAGAAGGCGCUUUCCCCAGGUUUCAACGGAGGUGUAGGACUGGGUGAGACGUCUUAAAGCAACGAGGCUCAUUUAUUCAGGUGAAAAACUAUUUGAGGAAUCAAGUCAAACACUAAUUGAAUUAUGUUGGGGAAACAUAAGGCUCACUUUGCCAAUAAGCAAUAUUUGCUGGAAGAAUUUCAGAAAACCGCCAAGAGGCCAGCCUUGCCCUGUGGUCCUAAGGUGAAGAAACACUACAAGGCCAAAUCACUUGGCUCAAUGUCACUUGCUAUUCACUGGGAGAGUUGGGAUUGGAAUCUGGCUACUUUGGUUUCAAAGUACAUGCUCUCAACCACUGUGCUAUGUCACCUCUCUAAAAUGACAACUUAACCAUGUAUAAUAAAGUGACUUUGAAAGGUCAGUGAAUUUCCCAGAAACUCAUUGCUAAUAUUCUAGAGCAGAUUAAUGUGAAACUUCCACUGUUUUCUCAGACUUUGUGCCUGGAAUUCUGAGAUGGCUGAUAAUUUAUGAAUAAACUUGACUCCAUUGUACUAAAGAAAGUAUAUUGACUAAGAAACAAAGUUGAAGCAGGAACAUAAUAAAAUGCACUAUUAAAGAUAUAAUGGCAAAUCAACUAUGAUAAAGGAACACAAUAAAAGUUUAAGUACACCAACAGGACUGUAUAUUUACUGAAAUAUAA
Canis lupus familiaris (dog) is the source of this 931-nucleotide long non-coding RNA. RefSeq lists it as uncharacterized. The record is from RefSeq and is a predicted model, not a curated record. The transcript has 3 exons. Lineage: Eukaryota; Metazoa; Chordata; Mammalia; Carnivora; Canidae.